GUUGAACAGUAGAUAGAAUUAGCAAAAAGUUUUGGGGGCCAAGUUCUUAGUGUUCAAGAGUCGGAAAGAGUUUGUGGGGUUGGCAAGGGGCUGCUUUGACUAAGAUUUCAACCUUAACUCCAUAGAGAAGAAAACAAGUGCUUGGUAUGAUCCAUUGAGAAGAGGUAAGAACAAAGAACGUGUCAACAUUCAAUGUUUGGUAUGAUCCAUAGAGAAGAAAACAAGUGCUUUCCUCAUAUCUUUUGUUUGGGUAGCUCUGGUUUUGCCGAGUCCAACUUUGACACAGCAUGUGCUCGCAGGUGAAGUAGCAGCGAGAUUGAGGCAUUGAACGGUUCAGCGCCACAAAAAUCACCUUUAUGUUGAAUGGUUCAUCGCUCACAAAAAUCACACGGAUCACAAAAAUCACAAAAUUUGAUCUGACAGCUGAAAUUGGUUGCGUUGAACCAAACAGCGCUGGACAAUGGUCCCAAAUGACGUGGACUGCUAAUCUAGGUGCUAAAUUAGCAAGGACGGGCCUAGCAAGGGGCUAAAUGAGGUUAUAGCCCGUCUCUGAUUUUGGGGUGAAAAAAUUUUAGUAUAAAAAUUUAGGUUAAAUUUUAUGUUUAACCCACAUAUUAGUUGUAGUUAGUUAACCGUAUAUGGUUUUUAGCGCAUACUAUGAGGUGAUCAAAAUUUAAGUCAUGUUUAAAGUAAAUAAUCUUCUUCCACUCAAUAUAUUUAUGUUCCUAUUUUCUUCUGU
Long non-coding RNA from Papaver somniferum (opium poppy), 739 nucleotides. RefSeq lists it as uncharacterized. NCBI's taxonomy places the organism in Eukaryota, Viridiplantae, Streptophyta, Magnoliopsida, Ranunculales, Papaveraceae. The record is from RefSeq and is a predicted model, not a curated record. The transcript has 2 exons.